Molecule: ribosomal RNA, 496 nt
Filed under: uncultured bacterium
Lineage: Bacteria
Description: partial 16S ribosomal RNA
Rfam family: Bacterial small subunit ribosomal RNA
Source: RNAcentral
AUGAACGCUGGCGGCGUGCCUCAUACCUGCAAGUCGCGCGAACAGACGAGGAGCUUGCUCCUUUGACGUUAGCGGCGGACGGGUGAGUAACACGUGGAUAACCUACCUAUAAGACUGGGAUAACUUCGGGAAACCGGAGCUAAUACCGGAUAACAUGUUGAACCGCAUGGUUCAACAGUGAAAGACGGUCUUGCUGUCACUUAUAGAUGGAUCCGCGCCGCAUUAGCUAGUUGGUAAGGUAACGGCUUACCAAGGCAACGAUGCGUAGCCGACCUGAGAGGGUGAUCGGCCACACUGGAACUGAGACACGGUCCAGACUCCUACGGGAGGCAGCAGUAGGGAAUCUUCCGCAAUGGGCGAAAGCCUGACGGAGCAACGCCGCGUGAGUGAAGAAGGUCUUCGGAUCGUAAAACUCUGUUAUUAGGGAAGAACAAAUGUGUAAGUAACUAUGCACGUCUUGACGGUACCUAAUCAGAAAGCCACGGCUAACUACGUG